UGUCAGAGCACGGCAAUCAAAGUUACAAGGGCUAAGACAAAAGGCAAGGUCAAGAAAAACAGGCACAGUCAGCAACGAGGAACUAGGGCUCGUAACUUGGAACACAGAUGCGUGAGCUGGAACGGAGAAAGUAACAUCAACGAUCAAGCAAGUGAAAAGAAAACUAGCAGGGCUUAAAUACACAGUGGUUUAAUUAGGAUGUGAUUUGAAACAGGUGUGGUGAGCUGGCAGGAGGAGGGCCUGGACAAAGAAAGAUGAGACACUAUGAGACAAGAAAGUGCAGUGACAAGUGGGUGAGGAGAUGACAGAGAAAACGGGGUGCAGGACAAGAAAGUGCAGUGAUUAGAGGGAGACGUUGAUACAAAUGAAACUGGACAUGAAUACAUGAGAACAGAGAUGGGGAGUGUAGAUGAGGGAGUGCAGAGACAACAUGGACAUGACUAAUAACCAAAAACUAACAAUACUAAAGUAACAAGACAGAAAAGAACUAAUGGACAAAGGAUGCAUGGACUCUUUACAAGAAAAGAUGAAUACUUGACCACAGGUACAAACACAG
Thalassophryne amazonica is the source of this 556-nucleotide long non-coding RNA. RefSeq lists it as uncharacterized. The record is from RefSeq and is a predicted model, not a curated record. NCBI's taxonomy places the organism in Eukaryota, Metazoa, Chordata, Actinopteri, Batrachoidiformes, Batrachoididae. The transcript is spliced from 3 exons.